RNAcentral lists this ribosomal RNA (204 nucleotides) under uncultured bacterium. RNAcentral's name for it is "partial 16S ribosomal RNA". It matches the Rfam family "Bacterial small subunit ribosomal RNA", at positions 326 to 540 of the family's 1533-position model. The record is from RNAcentral.
ACGCUCGACACCUACGGGCAGCAGUGGGGAAUAUUGGGCAAUGGAGGCAACUCUGACCCAGCAACGCCGCGUGAAUGAUGAAGGUCUUCGGAUUGUAAAGUUCUGUGACGGGGGACGAACACAAUGACGGUACCCCGAUAGCAAGCCACGGCUAACUACGUGCCAGCAGCCGACGGUAAUCUGAGGCGGGUCGUGGACGAAGGC